Molecule: ribosomal RNA, 621 nt
Filed under: uncultured Actinomycetes bacterium
Lineage: Bacteria; Bacillati; Actinomycetota; Actinomycetes
Description: bacterial SSU rRNA
Rfam family: Bacterial small subunit ribosomal RNA
Source: RNAcentral
UGAUGGGAGCUUGCUCCUGGAUUAGUGGCGAACGGGUGAGUAACACGUGAGUAACCUGCCCUUAACUCUGGGAUAAGCCUGGGAAACUGGGUCUAAUACCGGAUAUGACUCCUCAUCGCAUGGUGGGGGGUGGAAAGCUUUAUUGUGGUUUUGGAUGGACCCGCGGCCUAUCAGCUUGUUGCUGAGGUAAUGGCUUACCAAGGCGACGACGGGUAGCCGGCCUGAGAGGGUGACCGGCCACACUGGGACUGAGACACGGCCCAGACUCCUACGGGAGGCAGCAGUGGGGAAUAUUGCACAAUGGGCGCAAGCCUGAUGCAGCGACGCCGCGUGAGGGAUGACGGCCUUCGGGUUGUAAACCUCUUUCAGUAGGGAAGAAGCGAAAGUGACGGUACCUGCAGAAGAAGCGCCGGCUAACUACGUGCCAGCAGCCGCGGUAAUACGUAGGGCGCAAGCGUUAUCCGGAAUUAUUGGGCGUAAAGAGCUCGUAGGCGGUUCUGUCGCGUCUGCCGUGAAAGUCCGGGGCUCAACUCCGGAUCUGCGGUGGGUACGGGCAGACUAGAGUGAUGUAGGGGAGACUGGAAUUCCUGGUGUAGCGGUGAAAUGCGCAGAUAUCAGGAG